RNAcentral lists this ribosomal RNA (468 nucleotides) under uncultured bacterium. RNAcentral's name for it is "bacterial SSU rRNA". It matches the Rfam family "Bacterial small subunit ribosomal RNA", at positions 335 to 795 of the family's 1533-position model. The record is from RNAcentral.
ACUCCUACGGGAGGCAGCAGUGGGGAAUUUUGGACAAUGGGGGCAACCCUGAUCCAGCCAUGCCGCGUGAGUGAAGAAGGCCUUCGGGUUGUAAAGCUCUUUCAGCUGGAGCGAAACGGUACGCUCUAACAUAGCGUGCUAAUGACGGUACCAGCAGAAGAAGCACCGGCUAACUACGUGCCAGCAGCCGCGGUAAUACGUAGGGUGCGAGCGUUAAUCGGAAUUACUGGGCGUAAAGCGUGCGCAGGCGGAUUGUUAAGCAAGACGUGAAAUCCCCGGGCUUAACCUGGGAAUGGCGUUUUGAACUGGCAGUCUAGAGUGCGUCAGAGGGGGGUGGAAUUCCACGUGUAGCAGUGAAAUGCGUAGAGAUGUGGAGGAACACCGAUGGCGAAGGCAGCCCCCUGGGAUGACACUGACGCUCAUGUACGAAAGCGUGGGUAGCAAACAGGAUUAGAUACCCUGGUAGUC